Molecule: long non-coding RNA, 1047 nt
Organism: Cebus imitator (Panamanian white-faced capuchin)
Lineage: Eukaryota; Metazoa; Chordata; Mammalia; Primates; Cebidae
Exons: 2
Source: RefSeq, a predicted model, not a curated record
UCCCACUAGAAAACAGAGAGGACACUGGUGAGGGGAAGCGUGCUGUGCACAGGUGGUGGGCCAGGCAGGAGCAGCCUCUCCUGAGUGCAGCAGGCUGGAGUUGAAGAGAGGAGAGACCCUGCCUCGGGCCACCAUGGGAGGUGACUUCGGAGGGCAGCGUGGUGGUCUCCACAGGAGGCUUCCUGAAUAAGAUGGUCCCAAUGUAACAGGGAUAGGACUGUAUUUCUGUCUUUGAUUCCAUUUUCCUUUUAGGUAACAGUAGCAAAUUCAAAAACUAUAGAAUCAGUCCCAGAUGACUUCGUUAACAAGAAAGAGAAGAUUGAAAGACAGCCCUGGGGCUACACUAACUCGAGUUCCCAGACAAAGUGGCCUCCUGGAACCACGGCCUCUCUUGCCCCAUCCUCGAGAAAGGGUCUUGCUGUGUUGCCCAGGCUGAUCUUGAACUCCUGGCCUCAGUGAUCUUUCUGCCCCAGCCUCCUAAAGUGCUGGGAUUACAGGUGUGAGCCAAUGCCUCAGGCCUGGCUUUAUUUUGCAUUCUUGGAUUCUUAGUGAGUUUGAGUCCCCUUUACACAUCAUAACCCUUGUGAUACUAGUAAACAUAUAUUUUGUCUUUAACCCCAUUUCUGGUAUAUAACUCCUAAAAGCCUUCGUCUUUAAAGUGAUCUCUUUUUAUGUGCUAAUGGGCUGCCUGGAGGCUGGCAGCCCGUAGGUAGCUUCAGGAUGGGGGCUGGUCAUCAGAGAGGCAGAGGCAGGAUUAGAGGGUUGGGACUUUCAUCCUACCAUCCCACAUACUGGAGGGAAGGGCCCUGAGGCUUAAGCUGUUCACCAAUGGCCAGUGAUUUAUUCAAUCAUGCCUUCGUAAUGAAGCCUCCACAAACACCCAAAAGCCCCAAGAGGACAGGGUUCAGAAGCUUCUGGUAGCUGGGCACAUGGAGGCUCUUGGAAGGUAGCGAGCCCUGGAGUUCCACGCCCCCUCACACACGCCUUGCCCUCUGCAUCUCUUCAUUUGUACCUGUUGUAAUAUCCUUUCUAAUAAACUGGUAAAUG